RNAcentral lists this ribosomal RNA (247 nucleotides) under uncultured bacterium. Its description in RNAcentral is "partial 16S ribosomal RNA". It matches the Rfam family "Bacterial small subunit ribosomal RNA", at positions 86 to 334 of the family's 1533-position model. The record is from RNAcentral.
AGAUGGCGACCGGCGCACGGGUGAGUAACACGUAUCCAACCUGCCGAUAACUCGGGGAUAGCCUUUCGAAAGAAAGAUUAAUACCCGAUGGUAUAAUUAGACCGCAUGGUCUUGUUAUUAAAGAAUUUCGGUUAUCGAUGGGGAUGCGUUCCAUUAGGCAGUUGGUGAGGUAACGGCUCACCAAACCUUCGAUGGAUAGGGGUUCUGAGAGGAAGGUCCCCCACAUUGGAACUGAGACACGGUCCAA